RNAcentral lists this ribosomal RNA (468 nucleotides) under uncultured bacterium. RNAcentral's name for it is "partial 16S ribosomal RNA". It matches the Rfam family "Bacterial small subunit ribosomal RNA", at positions 28 to 507 of the family's 1533-position model. The record is from RNAcentral.
GACGAACGCUGGCGGCGUGCUUAACACAUGCAAGUCGAACGGAAAGGCCCUGCUUUUGUGGGGUGCUCGAGUGGCGAACGGGUGAGUAACACGUGAGUAACCUGCCCUUGACUUUGUGAUAACUUCAGGAAACUGGGGCUAAUACCGGAUAGGAUCUCCUGCUGCUUGGUGUGGUUUGGAAAGUUUCGGCGGUUGGGGAUGGACUCGCUGCUUAUCAGCUUGUUGGUGUGGUAGUGGCUUACCAAGGCUUUGACGGGUAGCCGGCCUGAGAGGGUGACCGGCAACAAUGGGACUGAGAUACGGACCAGAAUCCAACGGGAGGCAGCAGGGGGGAAUAGUGCAGAAUGGGCGGAAGCAUGAUGAAGAAAAGCGGCGUGCGGGAUGAAGGCCUUGGGGUUGAAAAAAGCUUUAGAAUGUGACGAAGAGUGAGUGACGGUAAUGGGUAAAGAAGCACCGGCUAACUACGUG